This 468-nucleotide ribosomal RNA is filed under the name uncultured bacterium. RNAcentral describes it as "partial 16S ribosomal RNA". It matches the Rfam family "Bacterial small subunit ribosomal RNA", at positions 28 to 507 of the family's 1533-position model. The record is from RNAcentral.
GACGAACGCUGGCGGCGUGCUUAACACGUGCAAGUCGAACGGAAAGGCCCUGCUUUUGUGGGGUGCUCGAGUGGCGAACGGGUGAGUAACACGUGAGUAACCUGCCCUUGACUUUGGGAUAACUUCAGGAAACUGGGGCUAAUACCGGAUAGGAGCUCCUGCUGCAUGGUGGGGGCUGGAAAGUUUCGGCGGUUGGGGAUGGACUCGCGGCUUAUCAGCUUGUUGGUGGGGUAGUGGCUUACCAAGGCUUUGACGGGUAGCCGGCCUGAGAGGGUGACCGGCCACAUUGGGACUGAGAUACGGCCCAGACUCCUACGGGAGGCAGCAGUGGGGAAUAUUGCACAAUGGGCGGAAGCCUGAUGCAGCAACGCCGCGUGCGGGAUGACGGCCUUCGGGUUGUAAACCGCUUUCGCCUGUGACGAAGCGUGAGUGACGGUAAUGGGUAAAGAAGCACCGGCUAACUACGUG